AUUGAACGCUGGCGGCAUGCUUUACACAUGCAAGUCGAACGGCAGCGCGGGCUUCGGCCUGGCGGCGAGUGGCGAACGGGUGAGUAAUGCAUCGGAACGUGCCCAGUAGUGGGGGAUAGCCCGGCGAAAGCCGGAUUAAUACCGCAUACGACCUGAGGGUGAAAGCGGGGGACCGAAAGGCCUCGCGCUAUUGGAGCGGCCGAUGUCGGAUUAGCUAGUUGGUGGGGUAAAGGCUUACCAAGGCGACGAUCCGUAGCUGGUCUGAGAGGACGACCAGCCACACUGGGACUGAGACACGGCCCAGACUCCUACGGGAGGCAGCAGUGGGGAAUUUUGGACAAUGGGGGCAACCCUGAUCCAGCCAUGCCGCGUGCGGGAAGAAGGCAUUCGGGUUGUAAACCGCUUUUGUUCGGGAAGAAAUCCUCUGGGCUAAUACCCCGGGGGGAUGACGGUACCGGAAGAAUAAGCACCGGCUAACUACGUG
RNAcentral lists this ribosomal RNA (484 nucleotides) under uncultured bacterium. Its description in RNAcentral is "partial 16S ribosomal RNA". It matches the Rfam family "Bacterial small subunit ribosomal RNA", at positions 29 to 507 of the family's 1533-position model. The record is from RNAcentral.